Long non-coding RNA from Cairina moschata (Muscovy duck), 2709 nucleotides. NCBI's taxonomy places the organism in Eukaryota, Metazoa, Chordata, Aves, Anseriformes, Anatidae. The record is from Ensembl.
AUGCCCCCAUCGUUGCCAAAAACCCCUAAAAUUCGCCUCCGGGACGCCCUCAUCGCGGCCAAAAAAAACCCCAAACUUCGCGUCGGCGCCGGGCGGGCCCCAUUUUCCCCGAUUUCCUCCCCAAAACCAAACCUUCUCCCGGCAGAACUUCCCCCUCCUCCCGACAUCGCGGUGACGCCGGAGAAGCCGGAGUACCUGAUCGGCGACACCGUCUCCAUCCGCUGCGCGGCCCCCAGGUCUACCAGUAGGGUCCAGGGCUUCCAGUUCUCCAGGACGGGGCGUUGGGUGGACGUCAGGAGCCCUUGGAGGACCUACACCUACACCUUCAACGUCACCGGCCCCAAAGACGGCGGGGCGCACACCUGCACCUACACCGUCACCGACCGCUACCGCCGGCCCGCGCGCUCGCGGGAGAGCCGAGCCGUUGACAUCAACGUUAGAGAGCCCCCCUCGGCCCCCCGCCUGGACGUGGAGCCCCCCUUCACGGAGCUGAGCGAGGGCGACCCGCUGCGACUCACCUGCCUGGCCCCCGCGGCCGCCCCCGGGCUCCGCUUCCACUUCUACAGGAACGGGGUCGAGAUCCCGAGGAGCCCCCCGGACCCCAAAAACGCCCCCGGGACCACCGCGGGGGGGUCCUCGGAGCUCCUCAUCCCGCAGACCCCGAGGGGCUUCGGUGGGACCUUCAGCUGCGGCUUCGAGGAGGACGUGGGUGGGACGUGGGUGGCGUCGCCGCCGAGCCGAGGGUUGGAGGUGGCCGUCAAGGACCUGCCGGGCCCUCCAGGCCUGCUGCUGGACCCCCCCUCGGGCGAAGUUCGGGCCGGGGACACCCUGGGGGUGACGUGCGCGGCCAACGGCAGCGGGGCGGGCGAGAGGAGGUUCUACUUCUACAAGGACGGCGCCGAGCAAUUUUCGGAGACCGGGGCCCGGGACCGGGUCCUCCUCAGCCUCCCCGUGGCCAAAACCACGGCCGGGAGCUUCUCCUGUAGGUACGAGGAGAAGGUGAGCGAGCGUUGGGUGCCCUCGCCGCUCAGCCGCGUGGUGGUGGUCACCGUGAAAGCCCCGGCUCUGCCCGUCCCGCUGGUGGCCGGUUGCGUCGCCGCCGCCGCCGCGCUGCUCCUGGGGCUGCUCGUGGCCGUCUGCUUCUGCCAGAGGAGGAGAGGUGAGCAAAAACGGGGGGAAAACGGGAAAAAUAACGUGAAAAAUCACUUUAGGGGCACAGCGAGGAGAUGGCGUUGGGUUGAGGGCCUUGAGGGCGCGUCCUUAGAUGGAGGAACCCCAAAAUCGCAAAGUUUCCCCCCAAAAUCCAAGCAAGUGUGGGAUGUUUGGGCUUCCCAUGAACCUUUUCGGGAGAAACAGCCCAUUUUUAACCAAAAAAGGGGGAUUAAGGAUAAAAAAAAACACUUUAGGGGCACAGCAAGGAGAUGGCGUUGGGUUGAGGGCCUUGAUGGCGCGCCCUUAGAACGGCGAACCCCAAAAUCCCAAAUUUUCUCCCCAAAAACCGAGCAAGUGUGGGAUGUUUGGGCUUCCCAUGAAGCUUUUCGGGAGAAACAGCCCAUUUUUAACCAAAAAAGGGGGAUUAAGGAUAAAAAACCACUUUAGGGGCACAGCAAGGAGACGGCGUUGGGUUGAGGGCCUUGAGGGCGCGUCCUUAGAUGGAGGAACCCCAAAAUCGCAAAGUUUCCCCCCAAAAGCCAACCAAACAUGGGGUAUUUGGGAUUGCCAUGAGCUUUUUCUGUAGAAACAGGCACUUUUUCACCCAAAAAAGGGGAUUAAGGAUAAAAAAAAGCACUUUAGGNGGGAAAUGGUUAAAAAAAUGGGAAAUGGUUAAAAAAUUGGGAAAAUGGUUAAAAAAGGUGGGAAAUGGUUAAAAAGGUGGAGAAAUGGUUAAAAAGGUGGGAAAUGGUUAAAAAAGGUGGGAAAUGGUUGAAAAAUUGGGAAAAUGGUUAAAAAGGGUGGAAAAUGGUUAAAAAAAGGUGAAGAAACUAAAGAAUAGGGCAGGAAAAAUGAAGGAAAAAGGAAAAUUAUUGAAGGAUGUGGGGAAAUCGAAAAAAGAGGCAGAGAAAAAAAGUAGAGAAAUGGUUAAAAGAGGAGGAAAAUGGUUAAAAGAGGGGAAAAAUGGUUAAAAGAGGAGGAAAAUGGUUAAAGCAGGGGGAAAAUGGUUAAUGGGGGGGGAGAAAUUAAAGAAGGAGGCAGAAAAAAAUUGAAGGAAUUGGGGAAAUUGAGGAAGGAGGCAGAGAAAAUGAGAAAGGAGGUGAAGAAACUGAAAAGGGAGAGGGAGAAAUGGGGGAAAAAGUGGAGAAAUUGGAAAAAGAGACGGAAAAUUUGUAAAAAGAGAGGGAAAACUUAAAAAAAAAGGGGAGAAAAAUUGAAAAAAAGAGGGAAAAUUUGAAAAAGAUGGAGAAAUUGUUGAGGGAGAGAAGGAAAUCCUUGAAGAAAGCGGGAAAAUUGAGAAAAGGGAUGGAAAAAUUGAAAGAGGAGGCAGGGAAAUCAGUGAAAAAGGAGGGAAACGGCCCCAAAAAAAUUCUCUGAGGUUGCUGACCUUUUUUUUUGGGGUGUUUUGGGGGUUUUUUGGACAGCCCCGGCUCUGCCCGUCCCGCUGGUGGCCGGUUGCGUCGCCGCCGCCGCCGCGCUGCUCCUGGGGCUGCUCGUGGCCGUCUGCUUCUGCCAGAGGAGGAGAGGUGAGCAAAAACGGGGGGAAAACGGGAAAAA